This 1308-nucleotide unclassified non-coding RNA is filed under the name Hevea brasiliensis (rubber tree). Lineage: Eukaryota; Viridiplantae; Streptophyta; Magnoliopsida; Malpighiales; Euphorbiaceae. The record is from RNAcentral.
GGAGUACCUAAGCAAAUCCUAAAGUUAAAACAAUGAAUCCCUAAAGAAGAUAGGAAGAAAUGCCAUAGAUAAAAACAACCCAUGUUCACUUUUUCUCUCUCUAAACAUUGAAAUUCAACCAAAACAAAAAACAAAAGUUGAUAAGAAUCCUUUCUUUCUUUCUUUGUGUGUGUGUGUGUCUAGCUAGGGUUUGCAUUUCUUUCACAAUUUUGGUUGUUUCAGUAGGAGAGAAAAGAGGAUCUAAGAGUUAGCCAAGAGAAGAAAUUAGUGAGAAAAUAAAGUAGAAAAAGAUCAUCAGAGGAAGGAGGGAUGGGUAGAGGAAGAGUUGAGCUGAAGAGGAUAGAAAACAAGAUAAAUAGACAAGUCACUUUUGCAAAGAGGAGAAAUGGAUUGCUCAAAAAAGCUUAUGAACUAUCUGUGCUUUGUGAUGCUGAAGUUGCUCUACUCGUUUUCUCUAAUCGUGGAAAACUCUAUGAAUUCUGCAGCACAAACAAUAUGCUCAAAACACUUGAUAGGUACCAAAAGUGCAGCUAUGGAACAUUGGAAGUCAAUCGAUCAAUCAAAGAUAAUGAGCAAAGCAGCUAUAGGGAAUACUUGAAACUCAAAGCCAAAUAUGAGUCGCUGCAGCGAUAUCAAAGACACCUUCUUGGAGAUGAGUUGGGGCCUCUGACUAUAGAUGAUCUUGAGCAUCUUGAAGUCCAACUAGAUACUUCCCUCAAACACAUUAGGUCCACCAGGACACAAAUGAUGCUUGAUCAGCUUUCUGAUCUUCAAACUAAGGAGAAAUUGUGGAAUGAGGCUAACAAGGUUCUUGAAAGAAAGAUGGAAGAAAUAUAUGCUGAAAACAACAUGCAACAAGCAUGGGGUGGUGGUGAGCAAAGUCUCAAUUAUGGUCAGCAGCAACAUCCUCAAUCUCAGGGUUUCUUCCAACCUCUAGAGUGCAACUCUUCCUUGCAAAUUGGGUACGAUCCAAUAACAACUUCAAGCCAAAUAACAGCAGUAACAAAUGCCCAAAACGUGAAUGGUAUGAUACCUGGUUGGAUGCUGUGAAUGAAAAAGUCCUUUAUCUUCAGCUUUGCAUAAAAGCAUAUGAAGUAUAUUUCUAUAAUAAUAAAGGAAAACUCCAGUACCUUUAUUUUCAGCAAAAUACCCUAAUUAAGGUGAACGUUGUGAACCAUUUUCUUUGCAUAAAAACAAACUUGUUUGCUUGGAAAUGUUUUAUUUUAUUCAAAUCAUAAUGUGGAUGUUGCUGAAUAUGAUGAUUAUUAGCAUCUUUCAUGUGAAUUCAGUUUCUUUUGUGUAUUCAGG